RNAcentral lists this ribosomal RNA (274 nucleotides) under uncultured bacterium. RNAcentral describes it as "partial 16S ribosomal RNA". It matches the Rfam family "Bacterial small subunit ribosomal RNA", at positions 523 to 796 of the family's 1533-position model. The record is from RNAcentral.
AUACGGAGGGUGCGAGCGUUGUUCGGAAUUAUUGGGCGUAAAGAGCAUGUGGGCGGUCUGUUAGGUCUGGUGUGAAAGCCCGGGGCUCAACCCCGGAAGUGCAUUGGAUACUGGCAGACUUGAGUAUGGGAGAGGAAAGCGGAAUUCCGAGUGUAGGAGUGAAAUCCGUAGAUAUUCGGAGGAACACCAGUGGCGAAGGCGGCUUUCUGGACCAAUACUGACGCUGAGAUGCGAAAGCGUGGGGAGCGAACAGGAUUAGAAACCCCAGUAGUCC